Molecule: long non-coding RNA, 244 nt
Filed under: Ananas comosus (pineapple)
Lineage: Eukaryota; Viridiplantae; Streptophyta; Magnoliopsida; Poales; Bromeliaceae
Description: long non-coding RNA (ACOM_LNC005380)
Source: RNAcentral
GACGAAACGAAAUCGCAGCUUUGUUGUCUCCGUCGUGCUAAUCGCACUGGUGUGAUCCGUUCGCGAAUCUGACGGACGGAUCUGCGGAGAUCGCGCGUUGAUCGAGGAGAGGUCGGUAGUGGCAAAACGGUAUUUUCGCAAAAGUCGCGAUAUUUUAUGUAUCGUUUCGCGAGGGAUCGCACGUGGAGGGGCGUUCAUGCGUUUUAGUCGUACUGUGAGGGUCUCGGAUUGUAAUUCUGAUGUU